ACUAUACUGUCUCCCUACUCCAAUCAGUGAAACUGAUCUCCCCGUGAAAAAGCAGGGAUAUCCUUAUAAGACGAGAAGACCCCAUGGAGCUUUAAGCCCGGUAACAACCCCCUCCAUUUAUUCCCUUUUAGACUAAAAGACCUUGCUUACCACUUUAGGUUGGGGCGACCACGAAGUACACUAAAACCUUCACGAUAAAAGGAGCCUGCUCCUUAUCUACGAACUACCCCUCUAAGAAUCAGAACCCUGAUAUAAAAUGAUCCGAUCUAAUCGAUCAACGAACCAAGUUACCCUGGGGAUAACAGCGCAAUCCAUUUUAAGAGUUCUUAUCGCCAAAUGGGUUUACGACCUCGAUGUUGGAUCAGGGUAUCCUGGUGGUGCAACCGCUACUAACGGUUCGUUUGUUCAACGAUUAAAACCCUACGUGAUCUGAGUUCAGACCGGA
RNAcentral lists this ribosomal RNA (445 nucleotides) under Petropedetes juliawurstnerae. RNAcentral's name for it is "partial 16S ribosomal RNA". It matches the Rfam family "Bacterial large subunit ribosomal RNA", at positions 2010 to 2620 of the family's 2925-position model. Lineage: Eukaryota; Metazoa; Chordata; Amphibia; Anura; Petropedetidae. The record is from RNAcentral.